RNAcentral lists this unclassified non-coding RNA (391 nucleotides) under soil metagenome. RNAcentral's name for it is "partial contains 5.8S ribosomal RNA, internal transcribed spacer 2, and large subunit ribosomal RNA". The stretch from base 1 to 122 matches the Rfam family "5.8S ribosomal RNA", at positions 35 to 154 of the family's 154-position model. The record is from RNAcentral.
GAUGAAGAACGUAGCGAAAUGCGAUACUUGGUGUGAAUUGCAGAAUCCCGUGAACCAUCGAGUCUUUGAACGCAAGUUGCGCCCGAAGCCACUAGGCCGAGGGCACGCCUGCCUGGGCGUCACACGCCGUUGCCCCCCCAUCUACUCCUUCGGGAUUGCGGGGGGGCGGAUGAUGGCCUCCCGUGCGCCUAGCCGCGCGGUUGGCAUAAAUACCAAGUCCUCGGCGACGCACGCCACGACAAUCGGUGGUUGGGAAACCUCGGUUGCCCGUCGUGUGCGUUCGUCGCGCAUCGAGGGCUCGAAAAAAUGCUCGGCUCCGGCUGGGCUUUCAACGCGACCCCAGGUCAGGCGGGGUUACCCGCUGAAUUUAAGCAUAUCAAUAAGCGGAGGA